UGGGGAAUUUUGGACAAUGGGGGAAACCCUGAUCCAGCCAUCCCGCGUGUGCGAUGAAGGCCUUCGGGUUGUAAAGCACUUUUGGCAGGAAAGAAACGUCGCGGGUUAAUACCCCGCGAAACUGACGGUACCUGCAGAAUAAGCACCGGCUAACUACGUGCCAGCAGCCGCGGUAAUACGUAGGGUGCAAGCGUUAAUCGGAAUUACUGGGCGUAAAGCGUGCGCAGGCGGUUCGGAAAGAAAGAUGUGAAAUCCCAGGGCUUAACUUUGGAACUGCAUUUUUAACUACCGGGCUAGAGUGUGUCAGAGGGAGGUGGAAUUCCGCGUGUAGCAGUGAAAUGCGUAGAUAUGCGGAGGAACACCGAUGGCGAAGGCAGCCUCCUGGGAUAACACUGACGCUCAUGCACGAAAGCGUGGGGAGCAAACAGGAUUAGAUACCCUGGUAGUCCACGCCCUAAACGAUGUCAACUAGCUGUUGGGGCCUUCGGGCCUUGGUAGCGCAGCUAACGCGUGAAGUUGACCGCCUGGGGAGUACGGUCGCAAGAUUAAAACUCAAAGG
Molecule: ribosomal RNA, 559 nt
Filed under: uncultured bacterium
Lineage: Bacteria
Description: partial 16S ribosomal RNA
Rfam family: Bacterial small subunit ribosomal RNA
Source: RNAcentral